GCGUGCUUAACACAUGCAAGUCGAACGGGGAUGUUUAUGGAAGGAGUGCUUGCACUUUGGAAAUGAGUAUCUUAGUGGCGGACGGGUGAGUAACGCGUGGGUAACCUGCCCCAUACCGGGGGAUACCACCUGGAAACAGGUGCUAAUACCGCAUAAGCGCACGGGAGCGCAUGCUCCUGUGUGAAAAACUCCGGUGGUAUGGGAUGGACCCGCGUCUGAUUAGCCAGUUGGCAGGGUAACGGCCUACCAAAGCGACGAUCAGUAGCCGGCCUGAGAGGGUGGACGGCCACAUUGGGACUGAGACACGGCCCAAACUCCUACGGGAGGCAGCAGUGGGGAAUAUUGCACAAUGGGGGAAACCCUGAUGCAGCGACGCCGCGUGAGUGAAGAAGUAUUUCGGUAUGUAAAGCUCUAUCAGCAGGAACGAGACAAGACGGUACCUGACUAAGAAGCCCCGGCUAACUACGUGCCAGCAGCCGCGGUAAUACGUAGGGGGCAAGCGUUAUCCGGAAUCACUGGGUGUAAAGGGAGCGUAGACGGCUGUGCAAGCCUGAAGUGAAAGGCGGGGGCCCAACCCCCGGACUGCUUUGGGAACUGUACGGCUGGAGUGCAGGAGAGGUAAGUGGGAAUUCCUAGUGUAGCGGUGAAAUGCGUAGUUAUUGGAGGGAACACCAGUGGGAAAGGCGGCUUACGGGACUGUAACUGACGUUGAGGCUCGAAAGCGGGGGGAGCAAACAGGAUUAGAUACCCUGGUAGUCCACGCCGUAAACGAUGAUUACUAGGUGUCGGGGGGCAGAGGCUCUUCGGUGCCGCAGCAAACGCAAUAAGUAAUCCACCUGGGGAGUACGUCCGCAAGGAUGAAACUCAAAGGAAUUGACGGGGACCCGCACAAGCGGUGGAGCAUGUGGUUUAAUUCGAAGCAACGCGAAGAACCUUACCCGGCCUUGACAUCCCCCUGACAGUGUAUGUAAUGUACAUUCCCUUCGGGGCAGGGGAGACAGGUGGUGCAUGGUUGUCGUCAGCUCGUGUCGUGAGAUGUUGGGUUAAGUCCCGCAACGAGCGCAACCCUUACCCACAGUAGCCAGCACAAAAGGUGGGCACUCUGUGGGGACUGCCGGGGACAACCCGGAGGAAGGUGGGGAUGACGUCAAAUCAUCAUGCCCCUUAUGGCCGGGGCUACACACGUGCUACAAUGGCGUAAACAAAGGGAAGCGAGAGAGCGAUCUUAAGCGAAACUCAAAAAUAACGUCCCAGUUCGGAUUGCAGUCUGCAACUCGACUGCAUGAAGCUGGAAUCGCUA
This 1300-nucleotide ribosomal RNA is filed under the name uncultured bacterium. RNAcentral describes it as "bacterial SSU rRNA". It matches the Rfam family "Bacterial small subunit ribosomal RNA", at positions 42 to 1337 of the family's 1533-position model. The record is from RNAcentral.